RNAcentral lists this ribosomal RNA (1278 nucleotides) under Triticum aestivum (bread wheat). RNAcentral's name for it is "partial small subunit ribosomal RNA". The record is from RNAcentral. Lineage: Eukaryota; Viridiplantae; Streptophyta; Magnoliopsida; Poales; Poaceae.
AAGAGAGUUAGAGAAGCAAUGCAUGAAGAAUAUGCCAGGGUGUUUGAUUAUCAACUAGAAAUAUUGAGGAGCAAUCCAGGAAGCACUGUGGCAGUUGUGCUUAAUCCAAAAGAAACUGCACCUGUUUUCCAGAGACUGCAUGUGUGCUUUCAGGAUUGCAAGAGAGGUUUCAUAGAAGGGUGCAGGAAAGUAGUGGGUUUGGAUGGCUGCUUCUUUAAGGGGGCUCAAAGUGGAGAGCUACUAUGUGCUCUUGGAAGAGAUGCAAAUGGGCAAAUGUAUCCCAUUGCUUGGGCAACAGUUGAGGUGGAAAAUAAGAACUUCUGGUUCUAGUUUAUGGCAUUGUUAAAUAAAGACUUGGAGAUUUCAAACCAAGGUGAAGGCUGAGUGUUUAUAUCAGAUCAGCAGAAAGGUCUAAUCAAUGCAAUUUCAAAGGUUGUACCAAGAGCUGAACACGGAAAUUGUGCUAGGCACAUUUAUGCUAACUGGAAGAAAAAACAUAGGGACCAGAAAUACCAGAAGAGAUUUUGGGCUUGUGCAGAGUCUUCUAACAGAGUCCAGUUCAAUUUAAACAGGGCAAAGCUUGCACAACUCACACCAGAAGGAGCAAAAGACAUGAUGCAGUUUGGGCCUGAACAUUGGUGUAGAGCAUGGUUCAAAGAAGGAUCAUUCUGUGAUUCAGUUGACAACAAUAUGUGUGAAAGUUUUAACAAUUGGAUAGUGGAAUAUAGAGGUCUUCCUAUCAUCAGUAUGUUUGAAGCAAUCAGAGCAAAGGUGACUGUAAGGAUUCAAGUUAAUAGAGCUAUGCCUGCCAAUUGGAAUGGAACAAUUUGUCCCAAAAUCCUCAAAAAGGUGAACAAGUUGAUACAACUUACUGAGAAGUGUGAGACAAUAUGGAAUGGAAAAGAUGGAUAUGAGGUGAACUUAGGACAACAUGGAUUCAAAGUAGACUUGCAAGCAGGAACAUGUUCUUGUAGAUACUGGCAAUUAUCAGGAAUUCCAUGUGUUCAUGCUCUAGCAGCUUCACAGUGUGGCCCUGAUGACAUUGAUUCACUUAUUGCACCUUGCUACAGAAUUGAAGCUUACAACAGGACAUAUGAACAUGUCAUGAUGCCAAUGGAGGGCAUGCCUAGCUGGCCAAUAUCUGACAGGCCUAGACCAUUAGUUCCAAGCUAUGUGCAAAUGCCUGGGAGGCCCAGGACAGAGACAAUAAGAGGUGGAGAUGAGCCUCCUAAGCAUGCACACAAACUCUCAAAGAUUGGAACUAAGAUCAAAGUGUAG